GCGAAAGUGGCUCAGUGGUAGAGCAUCGCCUUGCCAAGGCGAGGGUCGCGGGUUCAAAUCCCGUCUUUCGCUCCA
This 75-nucleotide transfer RNA is filed under the name Alkalibacter saccharofermentans DSM 14828. RNAcentral's name for it is "tRNA_Gly_GCC". It matches the Rfam family "tRNA". Rfam says of the family: Transfer RNA (tRNA) molecules are approximately 80 nucleotides in length. The record is from RNAcentral. RNAcentral also lists the same sequence under 6 other names. Lineage: Bacteria; Bacillati; Bacillota; Clostridia; Eubacteriales; Eubacteriaceae.